UACGUAGGGUGCGAGCGUUGUCCGGAAUUAUUGGGCGUAAAGAGCUCGUAGGCGGUCUGUCGCGUCGGCUGUGAAAACCCGGAGCUCAACUCCGGGCCUGCAGUCGAUACGGGCAAACUGGGAGUGUUGCAGGGGAGACUGGAAUUCCUGGGUGUAGCGGUGAAAUGCGCAGAUAUCAGGAGGAACACCGGUGGCGAAGGCGGGUCUCCUGGGCAACAACGUGACGCUGGAGGAGCGAA
Molecule: ribosomal RNA, 239 nt
Filed under: uncultured bacterium
Lineage: Bacteria
Description: partial 16S ribosomal RNA
Rfam family: Bacterial small subunit ribosomal RNA
Source: RNAcentral